This is a long non-coding RNA of Leptinotarsa decemlineata (Colorado potato beetle), 958 nucleotides long. The record is from RefSeq and is a predicted model, not a curated record. NCBI's taxonomy places the organism in Eukaryota, Metazoa, Arthropoda, Insecta, Coleoptera, Chrysomelidae.
AGGUCAAGAGUCCUAUUUUCAGUGUUGAUAUAUGAUAUUUCGGAUAAUGAAUCAUGAUAUUCAUGAAUUUCAUGAUUCAUGAUGAAAAAUAUGAAGUUGACUUCUUUCGUAUACUGAAAUUAUCUGAAAUUAACAUUAAAAUCAUCAUUCAAAAAAUAUGGAAAAUCUUUUUCUACUAUAAUUUCUGGAGAAGAACAGUUUAACACUGAAACCAGAAACAGAGAACUGAAAAAUAUGUUACAAUCAAAUAAAAAGGUAUCUUCUGAGCAUGUUAAGGAAAGAGAAAACUCCUAAAAGGCGAGCAAAAUAAAACAGGGUACUUUUAUAACAAAAAUCAAUUACAAAUACAGUUUACUAAAAGGUCUCAAGAAUAAUUAAAUGAUGGAUUUAUUCGCGGAAUCUUGUGAAAAAAUUGAUGUCACCGAUAAUUAUAAAGUAGAAUAUGGUACUAAAAUUUAUCGAAUAGGAAAACUGUUUUCCCAUACUUUAUGGAGGACUGAAUGUGAAGGAGAAGUUUUUUGGAGUGUACAAGGAACCGAUUAUGAUGGUUCUUCAUGGAUAAUUACUCAAUUUUUUGGACCAACUGAAGAAGCUCAACGAUAUCAGCAACAGGUUGUUUUACAUCACUCGACAGAUUCAAAAUUGAAGAUGUUGUACUUUAGUUCAUGUGCUGAUGGCAUUAACUGCAUUCAUAUUUCUAAAAAUAUAAUGCAUCAUUUUAGAGAUGUGAAAAAUAGUUUUCUUUUUGAAUUUCGAAUAGUAAAACCAAAAAGACACCCAUAUCCGCAGCGAAUGUUGUGAUUUGGAAUAUAUAUUUUAUUUAUUUUUUAUAGUUUAUUGAGUGUUAAGUUUGUUUAAUUUAUUUUAUUUUUGUGUAAUUUAUUCUACUGACACUAAUAUUACUUAAUACUAACGUGUGAGUACAUCAAUCUUGAUUAUUAAAAAAUAUUGAAAUAAA